AUGUAAUCUUAGCGGCGGACGGGUGAGUAACGCGUAGGCAACCUGCCUUGCACAGAGGGAUAUCACCGGGAGACUGGUACUAAUACCACAUGAUAUCAUAACAAGGCAUCUUGAAAUGAUCAAAGGAUAAAUCCGGUGCAAGAUGGGCCUGCGUCCGAUUAGUUAGUUGGUGAGGUAACGGCUCACCAAGGCGACGAUCGGUAGCCGAACUGAGAGGUUGAUCGGCCACAUUGGGACUGAGACACGGCCCAGACUCCUACGGGAGGCAGCAGUGGGGAAUAUUGCGCAAUGGGGGGAACCCUGACGCAGCAACGCCGCGUGAAGGAAGAAGGCCUUCGGGUUGUAAACUUUUUUGAUUGGGGAAGAAAAAAAUGACGGUACCCAAGGAACAAGCCACGGCUAACUACGUGCCAGCAGCCGCGGUAAUACGUAGGUGGCGAGCGUUGUCCGGAAUUACUGGGUGUAAAGGGCGUGUAGGCGGGAUUGUAAGUCAGAUGUGAAAUUCCAGGGCUUAACUCUGGAGGUGCAUCUGAAACUAUAAUUCUGGAGUGCUGGAGAGGAAAGCGGAAUUCCUAGUGUAGCGGUGAAAUGCGUAGAUAUUAGGAAGAACACCAGUGGCGAAGGCGGCUUUCUGGACAGUAACUGACGCUGAAUGCGCGAAAGCGUGGGGAGCAAACAGGAUUAGAUACCCUGGUAGUCCACGCUGUAAAACGAUGGAUACUAGGUUGUAAGAGGUAUCGACCCCUUAUGUGCCCGAAUUACACACAAUAAGUAUCCCACCUGGGGAGUACGGCCGCUAGGCUGAAACUCAAAGGAAUUGACGGGUGCCCGCACAAGCAGUGGAGUAUGUGGUUUAAUUCGAAGCAACGCGAAGAACCUUACCAGGGCUUGACAUCCCUCGGAUAACAUAGAGAUAUGUUAGUCCUUCGGACUGAGGAGACAGCUGGUGCAUGGUUGUCGUCAGCUCGUGUCGUGAGAUGUUGGGUUAA
This 989-nucleotide ribosomal RNA is filed under the name uncultured organism. RNAcentral's name for it is "bacterial SSU rRNA". It matches the Rfam family "Bacterial small subunit ribosomal RNA", at positions 84 to 1083 of the family's 1533-position model. The record is from RNAcentral.